This 253-nucleotide ribosomal RNA is filed under the name uncultured bacterium. Its description in RNAcentral is "partial 16S ribosomal RNA". It matches the Rfam family "Bacterial small subunit ribosomal RNA", at positions 524 to 776 of the family's 1533-position model. The record is from RNAcentral.
UACAAAGAGUGCAAACGUUGCUCGGAAUUACUGAGCGUAAAGCGCGUGUAGGCGGAUUGCUAAGUCGGGCGUGAAAUCCCCAAACUCAACCUGAGAACUGCGCUCGAAACUGACAGUCUCGAGUAUCGAAGAGGGUGGCGGAAUUCCUGGUGUAGAAGUGAAAUUCGUAGAUAUCAGGAGGAACACCGAUGGCGAAGGCGACCACCUGGACGAUUACUGACGCUGAGACGCGAAAGCGUGGGGAGCAAACAGG